CAAUAGCGUAUGUUAAAGUUGUUGCAGUUAAAAGCUCGUAGUUGUAUCCCCUUGUCUUGGACGGUCAGUGGCUGGCGUGCAAAAGUACGUCAUGGCAUACUACCCCGAGACAGCCGCUCCUUGCGAUUGGGUCGUGUCUGGUCUUGGUUGACUGUGGCGCGAGUACUCGAUUGCUCGUUUACUGUGAGAAAAUUAGAGUGUUCAAAGCAGGCAAGUUUUGCAAUUGAAUAUGUUAGCAUGGGAUAAUAAGAUAAGACUCCUGUUUUAUUUUGUUGGUUUCUAAAACGGAAGUAAUGAUUGAUAGGGAUAGUUGGGGGUGCUUGUAUUUGAUGGCCAGAGGUGAAAUUCAUGGAUUCUUCAAAGACAAACUUAUGCGAAAGCGUUCACCAAGGAUGUCCUCUUUAAUCAAGAACGAAAGUUGGGGGAUCGAAGAUGAUCAGAUACCAU
This 447-nucleotide ribosomal RNA is filed under the name uncultured eukaryote. RNAcentral's name for it is "bacterial SSU rRNA". It matches the Rfam family "Eukaryotic small subunit ribosomal RNA", at positions 592 to 1018 of the family's 1831-position model. The record is from RNAcentral.